AAUAGCGUGAUUUCAGUGCAACAUAUGCGAAUAGACAAAAAUAAUUUUGAAUAGCGUAAUGACGUCAAUAAAUGCUUUUUAUCAUUUCCUGAUAUAAAGGAUUCUCAUUGCUAGUUUACAUAAAAUACUAAUAUCUCUUUUUUAAUUAGUUAUUUGUGUGGUGCUUUCGGCAAACACCAUGUCGGUCUACACAAACAAAACUGGUGCGCCAUCCAUUUUAAAACCAUUUUCCGGUGCCGAUCGGGAUCGAGCCAAGAUUGCGGCCGCAAACCAAGUCCGGUUUGCGACUCCAAAGGAAAAAGGUCUUGUCGAAUGUAUUCGUAUAGCAGUGGAAGAUGGAGAUUUUCAUCUUGUCCAAGAGUUCACAUACUUUAUUCGGGAAUCAGAUCUUGACGAUGACGAGUUGUUGAAAGUCUUAACAGAUGCCAGAAAAAUAGUUCACCAUUUGACUCCAGAUUUUAUAAACGUUGUCGAAGCAUUGAUGUCCCUUAACUGGAAGAAGCGAAGUCUUGGAAUUAUCGAAGCUUACAAAGAUUUUUGCGUUGACGUUAUGGUGGCGCACAAUCGGUAUUUACCAAAUGGAAUAUGCAAAUUGAUUAUCCACUGGAUUCCCGGGGACUUGGAUUCAGCAGAAUGGGUUAAUGGUAACCCAUCGGAACGCGCUCAUACGGACUUAAAGCCAAUUCAUGACGCGCUCAAUCGAAUCCUCACAGCUGUACCGAUGGCAUUUGAUGUAGUUAUUGAUGCAAUAACAGCAAAAUUUCCAUACUUCAAGAAGCCUUCACAUGUUACGGCUGGUUAUCUCUUUAACGUUCUCUGGCUUAUCGAAUACAAGCCGGUAUUUGAGGAACUCAUUUUGCAGCUGGUUCUGCAAAAGCUUUUAGUCUUAGAUGUUAAUGCCCCCCGAGAUGAAAUCGACGUUGAGACUAACGAUCAUGACAGCAUUGAAGAUAAUGUCAGGUCUCAACAACCAUCAGUAAACCAUCCUAUCGGUCGUACCCUAGAUAUAUGUCUUUUAAUGUUAUAUAAGUUUAUUGAUGGUAAAUGUCGCAUUGAACCAAAUAGCUGCCAACAAAGCCGCGAAUCAGCAAAUCGAGUGUUUAAGAUACUAUUGUACCUUUUUGAUGAAGUUUUACUUCCUAGCCACAAUACCCAUCAUGUGCAAUUCGUCAUAUUUCAAGUGACUGGUAUUCGAUCGGAUUACUGGGAUGGCUUUUUACAAAUGCUAUGGAACAAAGUUAAAAAUCCAAAUGCGUCAGCUAUAAUUCGUCAUACUGCUGUAGGGUAUCUUUCCAGUUUUAUAGCCCGCGCGAAGUUUUUGCCACUUAGCACUAUAACAUUCUAUCUUAAAGAGUUAAGUAAAUGGGCACAUUCCUACAUAGACGACUCCGAUGAAUACGGCCAGAAUUGUUCACUCAAGGCGAACAUGGUAUUUUUCUCAGUAUGCCAAGGCAUUUUCUAUUUAAUUGCCUUUCGUGCCAGCGAUUUGACUAGAUGUACAAAAGAUUUGCUUUUCCUUCAAUCUCUACAACUUUCCCGUCUUGCCAUGUGUCACUUUAAUCCUCUCCGAUACUGCCUAGCCCCAGUUGCUACGGCCUUUGCUGGGGUUACACGAACACAUCAAUUGGCUUAUUGUCAUACGGUUUUGGAACGUAACGCCCGUCGGAAACUGGCCACUGUGUACGGUCAUGACAAAGCCAUGUCGGAAGAAACACUCGAAACAUUUUUUCCAUUUGACCCUUACUUGCUUAAAUUGUCCAACAUGUAUAUCGAACCCAAUUAUCUUGUUUACCACGAUACUGAAACAGGAGACUAUGCACAGACCGUUACACUUCCUUUUCAUCGAAAACGUGGUGACUCAGAAAUGGUAGAGGAUGAUGAAUUUAUUGUAGCAGACAAGCGCCAGAAAUAUUAAAAUAGUCAUAUAGUCAGUAGUUCGACUAAAACUGUCACUAUGGAUCUUCCCUUGGCUUAAAUAAGAAGUUAUUCCAGCGGCUAUUGUAACAAUUCAGGCUUGGUGGCCAUCAAUAUCAAAGUUUGCGUGUAUGAGUAAACACAAGAAUCCCAGCAGACGAAGAGCGGUCUCGGUGCGAAUGAAUCCGAGAAAUGUCCGCUAAAAAUAUUAAAUACUGACAAAGAAUCGGAGUUUCCGCAUUAGGUUCGG
This is a non-coding RNA of Drosophila kikkawai, 2164 nucleotides long. The record is from RefSeq and is a predicted model, not a curated record. Lineage: Eukaryota; Metazoa; Arthropoda; Insecta; Diptera; Drosophilidae.